UUUGUGUUUUGAUUGGCCAACUUAAUUAAUUUUUUUAAUUUAAUUUAAUAGUAUAAUACUGAUAAUGUGACACCUAAUCUAAGCUAAUUAUCUAACUUAAUCCAACUAAAACCUAUCUAAUCUAAUCAUCUAAUGUAAUCCAACUAAAACCUCUAAAAUCUAGCUAUACGUUAUUAUUAUAAAUCUCUAUACAUCCGCGGCACCUCCUAAAAUAACCCAAAAAUUCAUUUUCAAAGAUUUUUCAUUCAAAAAUUUAAUUGAAAUUUUAACCAAUGAAAUUUAGCAAAAAAAUAUUUUAUUAUUUCUAAACCGGACCCGCAAACUAGUUUGAAUUUUUCUGAAAGCCAAGUAAGAAACCGGUAAACCAAGCAAAAAUCAAAUCAAAUCAUUAAGUUGCCCCAAACCAGUUCGAAUCGAACCAAAAUGACCAAAAAGACCUAGAAAACCCUAGACUUCCUUUUUCUUUUCCUUCCUUUCUUCUUCUCCCUCCAGCACCGCUCAGCCUUUCUUUCUCUGUCUCUCUGGUCCAUGAUCAUUGAUCGUCGUCGACACUGUCUUGUUGCUGCUGCUGUUCCAUCGCCACCUUUUCCUCUCACCAUUCUCAUUUUCCAAGAGAUGUAAUGAUCGUUGGAGAGCGGUGAUCUUGUCUACGAUCGAACAACUCUGCCUCCAACACUCUCCUUCGUUUUCCAGCGGUUCUAGCCCUAACAGCGAGCAUCAAUCGAUUCCUUUCCUCCUUGCGAACAAAUCACCUCAAGAAAUUCAACCUUUCGUUGGCAUUUUGGAGAGCGGACAUUAACGGUGAGAUUAGGGUGACUGUCGACCUCUCUUCGGCCAAAUAGGCCAUGUUCUGAGCAAACCACCACUGAAAAUGAACUCUUGAGUGAAAUCCGAGCCAGAAGAUGUGAAGAGCACUUGACUCCAAGCAGCCAUGGUUUUUUGGUCAUCGUGGACGGCGGCGCCGCUGACACGAGCAACCGGCCGGCGAAUCUCUAGCGAGACCCUAAGAGGCAUAAACUUGAGAAUGACUGACUGAGCCUGAGUCCGAAAUCUGAUCCGAUUUGUAAUCGAUAUAAUUUAAGAUUUAGUUUAUUAAAUUUAAUGUAUAUCUCAAUUUAGAAAUUAUUGUUAUUGGAUUAAAUUGGUCCUGAUUAAAAUAAUUAAGGAAUAAGAACAAAAUAAAAGUUUUAAUAAACUAAAAGCAAGUUAUAAUUGCUACGAUAAAAAUAAAUUGAGAACUUUGAUAAACAUGGAUUUUAUGGUAUGAAUUUUAAAUAAAAUAAGUAAAGCAUAAAAAUU
This 1299-nucleotide long non-coding RNA is filed under the name Jatropha curcas. RNAcentral describes it as "long non-coding RNA (JCUR_LNC000381)". The record is from RNAcentral. Lineage: Eukaryota; Viridiplantae; Streptophyta; Magnoliopsida; Malpighiales; Euphorbiaceae.